AUGAACGCUGGCGGCGUGCCUAAUACAUGCCAGUCGAGCGAACGGACGAGAAGCUUGCUUCUCUGAUGUUAGCGGCGGACGGGUGAGUAACACGUGGAUAACCUACCUAUAAGACUGGGAUAACUUCGGGAAACCGGAGCUAAUACCGGAUAAUAUUUUGAACCGCAUGGUUCAAAAGUGAAAGACGGUCUUGCUGUCACUUAUAGAUGGAUCCGCGCUGCAUUAGCUAGUUGGUAAGGUAACGGCUUACCAAGGCAACGAUGCAUAGCCGACCUGAGAGGGUGAUCGGCCACACUGGAACUGAGACACGGUCCAGACUCCUACGGGAGGCAGCAGUAGGGAAUCUUCCGCAAUGGGCGAAAGCCUGACGGAGCAACGCCGCGUGAGUGAUGAAGGUCUUCGGAUCGUAAAACGCUGUUAUUAGGGAAGAACAUAUGUGUAAGUAACUGUGCACAUCUUGACGGUACCUAAUCAGAAAGCCACGGCUAACUACGU
This 495-nucleotide ribosomal RNA is filed under the name uncultured bacterium. RNAcentral's name for it is "partial 16S ribosomal RNA". It matches the Rfam family "Bacterial small subunit ribosomal RNA", at positions 29 to 506 of the family's 1533-position model. The record is from RNAcentral.